This 377-nucleotide unclassified non-coding RNA is filed under the name uncultured Frankiales bacterium. RNAcentral describes it as "contains 16S-23S intergenic spacer region". The record is from RNAcentral. Lineage: Bacteria; Bacillati; Actinomycetota; Actinomycetes; Frankiales.
UCCGAGUUGACCCCGGCAGUCUCCUAUGAGUCCCCGACAUUACUCGCUGGCAACAUAGGACGAGGGUUGCGCUCGUUGCGGGACUUAACCCAACAUCUCACGACACGAGCUGACGACAACCAUGCACCACCUGUGCAGGACCCUUGCGGACCCCCCAUCUCUGGAGGAUUUCCCUGCAUGUCAAGCCUUGGUAAGGUUCUUCGCGUUGCGUCGAAUUUAGCCACAUGCUCCGCUGCUUGUGCGGGCCCCCGUCAAUUCCUUUGAGUUUUAGCCUUGCGGCCGUACUCCCCAGGCGGGGCGCUUAAUGCGUUAGCUGCGGCACUGAGGACGUGGAAUGUCCCCCACACCUAGCGCCCAACGUUUACGGCGUGGACUAC